CCUACGGGAGGCAGCAGUGGGGAAUAUUGCACAAUGGGCGAGAGCCUGAUGCAGCAACGCCGCGUGAGCGAUGAAGGCCUUCGGGUCGUAAAGCUCUGUCCUCAAGGAAGAUAAGGACGUUACUUGAGGAUGAAGCCCCGGCGAACUACGUGCCAGCAGCCGCGGUAAUACGUAGGGGGCUAGCGUUAUCCGGAAUUACUGGGCGUAAAGGGUGCGUAGGUGGUUUCUUAAGUCAGAGGUGAAAGGUUACGGCUCAAACGUAGUAAGCCUUUGAAACUGGGAAACUUGAGUGCAGGAGAGGAGAGCGGAAUUCGUAGUGUAGCGGUGAAAUGCGUAGAUAUUAGGAGGAACACCAGUUGCGACGGCGGCACUCUGGACUGCAACUGACACUGAGGCACGAAAGCGUGGGGAGCAAACAGGAUUAGAUACCCCUGUAGUC
This 439-nucleotide ribosomal RNA is filed under the name uncultured bacterium. RNAcentral describes it as "partial 16S ribosomal RNA". It matches the Rfam family "Bacterial small subunit ribosomal RNA", at positions 338 to 795 of the family's 1533-position model. The record is from RNAcentral.